Molecule: ribosomal RNA, 253 nt
Filed under: uncultured bacterium
Lineage: Bacteria
Description: partial 16S ribosomal RNA
Rfam family: Bacterial small subunit ribosomal RNA
Source: RNAcentral
UACAGAGGUCCCAAGCGUUGUUCGGAUUCAUUGGGCGUAAAGGGUGUGUAGGUGGCGCCGUAAGUCGGGUGUGAAAUUUCGGAGCUUAACUCCGAAACUGCAUUCGAUACUGCGGUGCUUGAGGACUGGAGAGGAGACUGGAAUUCAUGGUGUAGCAGUGAGAUGCGUAGAGAUCAUGAGGAAGACCAGUGGCGAAGGCGGGUCUCUGGACAGUUCCUGACACUGAGACACGAAGGCCAGGGGAGCAAACGGG